CCUACGGGUGGCAGCAGUGGGGAAUAUUGCACAAUGGGGGAAACCCUGAUGCAGCAACGCCGCGUGAGUGAUGACGGAAUUCGUGAUGUAAAGCUCUGUCAUCAGGGACGAUAAUGACGGUACCUGAGUAGGAAGCCACGGCUAACUACGUGCCAGCAGCCGCGGUAAUACGUAGGUGGCGAGCGUUAUCCGGAUUUACUGGGUGUAAAGGGAGCGUAGACGGCAGUGUAAGUCUGGAGUGAAAUGCGGGGGCUCAACCAUAGUACUGCUCUGGAAACUGUACGGCUGGAGUGCAGGAGAGGAAAGUGGAAUUCCUAGUGUAGCGGUGAAAUGCGUAGAGAUUAGGAGGAACACCAGUGGCGAAGGCGGUUCACUGGACUGUAACUGACGUUGAGGCUCGAAAGCGUGGGGAGCAAACAGGAUUAGAUACCCGUGUAGUC
Molecule: ribosomal RNA, 440 nt
Filed under: uncultured bacterium
Lineage: Bacteria
Description: partial 16S ribosomal RNA
Rfam family: Bacterial small subunit ribosomal RNA
Source: RNAcentral